GACGAACGCUGGCGGCGUGCUUAACACAUGCAAGUCGAACGAUGAAGCCGGAGCUUGCUCUGGUGAAUUAGUGGCGAACGGGUGAGUAACACGUGAGUAACCUGCCCUUGACUCUGGGAUAACUGCUAGAAAUGGUAGCUAAUACCGGAUACGACCCUCGGAGGCAUCUUCAGGGGGUGGAAAGAAUUUCGGUCAAGGAUGGACUCGCGGCCUAUCAGCUAGUUGGUGAGGUAAUGGCUCACCAAGGCGACGACGGGUAGCCGGCCUGAGAAGGUGACCGGCCACACGGGGACUGAGACGCGGCCCAGACUCCUACGGGAGGCAGCAGUGGGGAAUAUUGCACAAUGGGCGCAAGCCUGAUGCAGCAACGCCGCGUGAGGGAUGACGGCCUUCGGGUUGUAAACCUCUUUUAGUAGGGAAGAAGCGAAAGUGACGGUACCUGCAGAAAAAGCACCGGCUAACUACGUGCCAGCAGCCGCCGUAA
RNAcentral lists this ribosomal RNA (484 nucleotides) under uncultured bacterium. RNAcentral's name for it is "partial 16S ribosomal RNA". It matches the Rfam family "Bacterial small subunit ribosomal RNA", at positions 28 to 523 of the family's 1533-position model. The record is from RNAcentral.